CGUAGGGGGCUAGCGUUGUCCGGAAUCAUUGGGCGUGAAGCGCGUGUAGGCGGCCCGGUAAGUCCGCUGUGAAAGUCGGGGGCUCAACCCUCGAAAGCCGGUGGAUACUGUCGGGCUCGAGUACGGAAGAGGCGAGUGGAAUUCCUGGUGUAGCGGUGAAAUGCGCAGAUAUCAGGAGGAACACCAAUUGCGAAGGCAGCUCGCUGGGACGUCACUGACGCUGAGACGCGAAAGCGUGGGGAGCAAACAGGAUUAGAUACCCUGGUAGUCCACGCUGUAAACGAUGGGCACUAGGUGUGGGGGGUGUCGACUCCCUCCGUGCCGAAGCUAACGCAUUAAGUGCCCCGCCUGGGGAGUACGGCCGCAAGGCUA
This 372-nucleotide ribosomal RNA is filed under the name uncultured organism. RNAcentral's name for it is "bacterial SSU rRNA". It matches the Rfam family "Bacterial small subunit ribosomal RNA", at positions 526 to 896 of the family's 1533-position model. The record is from RNAcentral.